UCCAAUUGGAACGCUUUGGGAUGAGUCUGCGGCUCAUUAGCUUGUUGGUGGGGUAAAGGCCUACCAAGGCAACGAUGAGUAGCCGGCCUGAGAGGGUGAACGGCCACACUGGGACUGAGACACGGCCCAGACUCCUACGGGAGGCAGCAGCUAAGAAUCUUCCGCAAUGGACGCAAGUCUGACGGAGCGACGCCGCGUGAACGAUGAAGGCGGAAACGUUGUAAAGUUCUUUUCCUGAUGAAGAAUAAUGAGAGGAGUGGAAAGCCUUUCAGAUGACAUUAUUCAGGGAAUAAGCCCCGGCUAAUUACGUGCCAGCAGCCGCGGUAAUACGUAUGGGGCAAGCGUUGUUCGGAUUUAUUGGGCGUAAAGGGCGCGCAGGCGGUUUAACAAGCUUGAUGUGAGAUAUCCCGGCUUAACUGGGGACACGCGUUGGGAACUGUUAGACUAGAGUUUAGAAGGGGAAACUGGAAUUCCUAGUGUAGGGGUGAAAUCUGUAGAGAUUAGGAAGAACACCAAUGGCGAAGGCAAGUUUCUGGUCAUAGACUGACGCUGAGGCGCGAAAGCGUGGGGAGCGAACAGGAUUAGAUACCCUGGUAGUCCACGCUGUAAACGAUGUGCACUAGGUGUAGGAUAUUGAAUAUAUUCUGUGCCGUAGCUAACGCGUUAAGUGCACCGCCUGGGGAGUAUGCUCGCAAGGGUGAAACUCAAAGGAAUUGACGGGGGCCCGCACAAGCGGUGGAGCAUGUGGUUUAAUUCGAUAUACGCGAGAAACCUUACCAGGGCUUGACAUUUACAUGACGGUUUAAGAAAUUAGGCCUUCCUUUCGGGGACAUGUAAACAGGUGCUGCAUGGUUGUCGUCAGCUCGUGUCGUGAGAUGUUGGGUUAAGUCCCGCAACGAGCGCAACCCUUAUUGUCUGUUGCCAGCAUUUCGGAUGGGGACUCAGACAAAACUGCCGGUGACAAACCGGAGGAAGGUGGGGAUGACGUCAAAUCAUCAUGGCCCUUAUGUCCUGGGCUACACACGUGCUACAAUGGCAAGUACAAAGCGUGGCGAAAAGGUGACUUCAAGCUAAUCGCAAAAAGCUUGCCUCAGUUCGGAUUGGAGUCUGAAACUCGACUCCAUGAAGUUGGAAUCGCUAGUAAUCGCGCAUCAGCAUGGCGCGGCGAAUAUGUUCCCGGGCCUUGUACACACCGCCCGUCACACCACCCGAGUUGGGGGUACCCGAAGCCGCUAGUCUAACUUUUAGAGGACAGUGCCGAAGGUAUGCCUGGUAAGGGGGGUGAAGUCGUAACAAGGUA
Molecule: ribosomal RNA, 1300 nt
Filed under: metagenome
Description: bacterial SSU rRNA
Rfam family: Bacterial small subunit ribosomal RNA
Source: RNAcentral